CCAGGCUGUGCUAGAAACCCACAGAAAUGGAUUGUUUGUAUGUUUUACAGAAAAUUGACCCAAAAAAAGGAAUUAAUAAAGCAACAAGUCACUAUACUCUGCGCCACUUCAUCUGAGAAGUUUCCUUGAAGCAUGCUAAAGACUUCAAUAAGACUUUCUGACUGUGUGCUACUGGAACUACGCCAUAAGGAGAUGAAAAACAAGAUGGGCAAAGGAAAAUGCUGUCCUAUCCCAAGAAAUGCAAAAGUAUUAUCAAGCAUGUCUGUGUCUCUCUUGCCAUUUUGAUAUCAGGGAACUCAUCCAGCUGUGAACCAACAGCCUUUGUAACGGAGCUUGCAGCAGGAGGACCUCUGGAAGAUUGAAGUGUUGAGGAUAAAGCUGACCUGCUACCUUCAUGAAAAUAUAAUUUAAUCAUUUCCUGUUGUCUGAAACAGCACGCUAGCAAGAAAUCAGAACGACUGAUGUUGGCAGGGACUUCUGGAGGUCACUGGAUCCCCCUAUUCAAGCAAGGGCAUCUAGAAGAGGUAUAGAAAGGAAAUAUUCAGGGUAUGAGACUGUUGCAGCCGUCUUUUUCAGCUGCCUCAUUUAUGUAUCUUCACGUAUAUAUGAAGAUAUGGAAGAUCUGAACUGGUGCUCCUCCACUUCUUGAUGCAGGAUCUCUCCAAAAGCGCUGUGUGCGAGUCUUCCCCUUAAAACUUUGAGCCCUGCAUAAAUUCUGCUGGUCAAGAGGCUCCGACUGUGACUGCAAAAGCAGGUUGUUAAUAUUGUGAGUGUAACAAGGAAUCUCACCAAGAGGUAAUGUGAGAAAUAACACUGUCAGUGUUUCUGCGUACCCCCGUCCCUCAGAAGAUCAGGGCUUUUCAAUGGAUGCACUGAUCUGCUCGUCAAUUGCACCUGCUCAGGGCUACAUAACGCUCUGGAGACAUUUCCAAAGAUGACUCUACCACAAGACAAUAGAGGCUGGCAUC
Lagopus muta (rock ptarmigan) is the source of this 968-nucleotide long non-coding RNA. RefSeq lists it as uncharacterized. The record is from RefSeq and is a predicted model, not a curated record. Lineage: Eukaryota; Metazoa; Chordata; Aves; Galliformes; Phasianidae. The transcript is spliced from 9 exons.